Molecule: ribosomal RNA, 761 nt
Filed under: uncultured Prevotella sp.
Lineage: Bacteria; Pseudomonadati; Bacteroidota; Bacteroidia; Bacteroidales; Prevotellaceae
Description: bacterial SSU rRNA
Rfam family: Bacterial small subunit ribosomal RNA
Source: RNAcentral
GAUGAACGCUAGCUACAGGCUUAACACAUGCAAGUCGAGGGGAAACGGCGUUGAGUGCUUGCACUCUUCGGACGUCGACCGGCGCACGGGUGAGUAACGCGUAUCCAACCUUCCCAUAACUAAGGGAUAACCUACCGAAAGGCAGACUAAUACCUUAUGUAAUUCUUAGAUGACAUCAGAAGAGAAUGAAAGAUUUAUCGGUUAUGGAUGGGGAUGCGUCUGAUUAGCUUGCUGGCGGGGUAACGGCCCACCAGGGCAUCGAUCAGUAGGGGUUCUGAGAGGAAGGUCCCCCACAUUGGAACUGAGACACGGUCCAAACUCCUACGGGAGGCAGCAGUGAGGAAUAUUGGUCAAUGGGCGCAAGCCUGAACCAGCCAAGUAGCGUGCAGGAUGACGGCCCUAUGGGUUGUAAACUGCUUUUUAAGGGGAAUAAAGAGGGACACGCGUGUCCUGUUGCAUGUAGCCUUAGAAUAAGGACCGGCUAAUUCCGUGCCAGCAGCCGCGGUAAUACGGAAGGUCCGGGUGUUAUCCGGAUUUAUUGGGUUUAAAGGGAGCGUAGGCCGCAGGUUAAGUGUGUUGUGAAAAGCAGUCGCCCAACGUCUGCCUUGCAGCGCAAACUGUCCUGCUUGAGUGCGCACAACGCAGGCGGAAUUCGUCGUGUAGCGGUGAAAUGCUUAGAUAUGACGAAGAACUCCGAUUGCGAAGGCAGCUUGCGGGAGCGCAACUGACGCUGAAGCUCGAAGGUGCGGGUAUCGAACAGG